RNAcentral lists this ribosomal RNA (886 nucleotides) under uncultured Acidobacteriota bacterium. RNAcentral describes it as "bacterial SSU rRNA". It matches the Rfam family "Bacterial small subunit ribosomal RNA", at positions 36 to 916 of the family's 1533-position model. The record is from RNAcentral. Lineage: Bacteria; Pseudomonadati; Acidobacteriota.
CUAUAGGCGGGGUCUUACCAUGCAGUCGGAUGUGCCGCAAGGUGCAUGGCAGACGGGUGAGUAACGCGUAGGGAACCUACCUCUUUGUGGGGAAUAACGUUCCGAAAGGAACGGUAAUACCGCAUGUGAUCACAGACUGGAAUGUUUGUGAUGAAAGCCGGGGACCGAAAGGCCCGGCGCAAGGAGAGGGUCCUGCGUCUGAUUAGCUAGUUUGUGGGGUAACGGCCUACCAAGGCGACGAUCAGUAGCCGGCCUGAGAGGGUGAUCGGCCACACUGGAACUGAGACACGGUCCAGACUCCUACGGGAGGCAGCAGUGGGGAAUUUUGCGCAAUGGACGAAAGUCUGACGCAGCAACGCCGCGUGGGUGAUGAAGGUCUUCGGAUUGUAAAACCCUGUCGUCAGGGACGAAGGUAUGGUUCUUAAUACGGAUCAUGCUUGACGGUACCUGGAGAGGAAGCCCCGGCUAACUCUGUGCCAGCAGCCGCGGUAAUACAGAGGGGGCAAGCGUUAUUCGGAAUUAUUGGGCGUAAAGGGCGCGUAGGCGGUUUUGUAAGUAGGAUGUGUAAUCCCCGAGCUUAACUUGGGAACUGCAUCCUAGACUGCAAGGCUAGAGUGCUGGAGAGGGUGGUAGAAUUCCACGUGUAGCGGUGAAAUGCGUAGAGAUGUGGAGGAAUACCAGUGGCGAAGGCGGCCACCUGGACAGCAACUGACGCUGAGGCGCGAAAGUGUGGGGAGCAAACAGGAUUAGAUACCCUGGUAGUCCACACUGUAAACGAUGAACACUUGGUGUGGCGGGAGUUGACCCCCGCCGUGCCGGAGCUAACGCGUUAAGUGUUCCGCCUGGGGAGUACGGUCGCAAGGCUGAAACUCAAAGGAAUUGACGG